GGCGUGCCUAAUACAUGCAAGUCGAGCGAACUGAUUAGAAGCUUGCUUCUAUGACGUUAGCGGCGGACGGGUGAGUAACACGUGGGCAACCUGCCUGUAAGACUGGGAUAACUUCGGGAAACCGAAGCUAAUACCGGAUAGGAUCUUCUCCUUCAUGGGAGAUGAUUGAAAGAUGGUUUCGGCUAUCACUUACAGAUGGGCCCGCGGUGCAUUAGCUAGUUGGUGAGGUAACGGCUCACCAAGGCAACGAUGCAUAGCCGACCUGAGAGGGUGAUCGGCCACACUGGGACUGAGACACGGCCCAGACUACUACGGGAGGCAGCAGUAGGGAAUCUUCCGCAAUGGACGAAAGUCUGACGGAGCAACGCCGCGUGAGUGAUGAAGGCUUUCGGGUCGUAAAACUCUGUUGUUAGGGAAGAACAAGUACGAGAGUAACUGCUCGUGCCUUGACGGUACCUAACCAGAAAGCCACGGCUAACUACGUGCCAGCAGCCGCGGUAAUACGUAGGUGGCAAGCGUUAUCCGGAAUUAUUGGGCGUAAAGCGCGCGCAGGCGGUUUCUUAAGUCUGAUGUGAAAGCCCACGGCUCAACCGUGGAGGGUCAUUGGAAACUGGGGAACUUGAGUGCAGAAGAGAAAAGCGGAAUUCCACGUGUAGCGGUGAAAUGCGUAGAGAUGUGGAGGAACACAAGUGGCGCAGGCGGCUUUUUGGUCUGUAACUGACGCUGAGGCGCGAAAGCGUGGGGAGCAAACAGGAUUAGAUACCCUGGUAGUCCACGCCGUAAACGAUGAGUGCUAAGUGUUAGAGGGUUUCCGCCCUUUAGUGCUGCAGCUAACGCAUUAAGCACUCCGCCUGGGGAGUACGGUCGCAAGACUGAAACUCAAAGGAAUUGACGGGGG
Molecule: ribosomal RNA, 898 nt
Filed under: Priestia megaterium
Lineage: Bacteria; Bacillati; Bacillota; Bacilli; Caryophanales; Bacillaceae
Description: bacterial SSU rRNA
Rfam family: Bacterial small subunit ribosomal RNA
Source: RNAcentral